Molecule: transfer RNA, 74 nt
Filed under: Burkholderiales bacterium
Lineage: Bacteria; Pseudomonadati; Pseudomonadota; Betaproteobacteria; Burkholderiales
Description: tRNA-Gly
Rfam family: tRNA
About the family: Transfer RNA (tRNA) molecules are approximately 80 nucleotides in length. Their secondary structure includes four short double-helical elements and three loops (D, anti-codon, and T loops). Further hydrogen bonds mediate the characteristic L-shaped molecular structure. tRNAs have two regions of fundamental functional importance: the anti-codon, which is responsible for specific mRNA codon recognition, and the 3' end, to which the tRNAs corresponding amino acid is attached (by aminoacyl-tRNA synthetases). tRNAs cope with the degeneracy of the genetic code in two manners: having more than one tRNA (with a specific anti-codon) for a particular amino acid; and 'wobble' base-pairing, i.e. permitting non-standard base-pairing at the 3rd anti-codon position.
Source: RNAcentral
GCGGGUGUCUUCUAAUGGCAAGAAGCCUGGUUCCCAUCCAGUAAACGACGGUUCGAUUCCGUUCACCCGCUCCA